CCUACGGGGUGCUGCAGUGAGGAAUAUUGGUCAAUGGGCGGAAGCCUGAACCAGCCAAGUAGCGUGCGGGAUGAAGGCCCUACGGGUCGUAAACCGCUUUUGCACGGGGAUAACACCCUCCACUUGUGGAGGUCUGCAGGUACCGUGCGAAUAAGGGCCGGCUAAUUCCGUACCAGCAGCCGCGGUAAUACGGAAGGCCCGAGCGUUAUCCGGUUUCAUUUGGCUAAAGGGGAGCGUAGGCGGGCGGUCAAGUUAGCUGUAAAAUCGCGCGGCUCAACCGCGCCCCGCAUGUGAUACUGGACGCAUUGAGUUCACAACAGGCAGGCGGAAUUCGUGGUGUAGCGGUGAAAUCCGUAGAUAUCUGGAGGAACAUCAGUGGCGAAGGCGGCCACCUGGACCGGUAUUGACGCUGAGGCGCGAAAGCGUGGGGAGCAAACAGGAUUAGAUACCCGGGUAGUC
Molecule: ribosomal RNA, 459 nt
Filed under: uncultured bacterium
Lineage: Bacteria
Description: partial 16S ribosomal RNA
Rfam family: Bacterial small subunit ribosomal RNA
Source: RNAcentral